UGGGGAAUUUUGGACAAUGGGCGAAAGCCUGAUCCAGCCAUGCCGCGUGAGUGAAGAAGGCCUUCGGGGUGUAAAGCUCUUUUAAUCGGAAAGAAAGAGUUGCAAUGAAUAAUUGUGAUUUAUGACGGUACCGACAGAAAAAGCACCGGCUAACUACGUGCCAGCAGCCGCGGUAAUACGUAGGGUGCGAGCGUUAAUCGGAAUUACUGGGCGUAAAGGGUGCGCAGGCGGUCUUGCAAGUCAGAUGUGAAAGCCCCGGGCUUAACCUGGGAAUUGCGUUUGAAACUACAAGACUAGAGUGCAGCAGAGGGGAGUGGAAUUCCAUGUGUAGCAGUGAGAUGCGUAGAGAUGUGGAAGAACACCGAUGGCGAAGGCAGCUCCCUGGGUUGACACUGACGCUCAUGCACGAAAGCGUGGGGAGCAAACA
RNAcentral lists this ribosomal RNA (427 nucleotides) under uncultured bacterium. Its description in RNAcentral is "bacterial SSU rRNA". It matches the Rfam family "Bacterial small subunit ribosomal RNA", at positions 355 to 774 of the family's 1533-position model. The record is from RNAcentral.